Molecule: long non-coding RNA, 445 nt
Organism: Pseudopipra pipra
Lineage: Eukaryota; Metazoa; Chordata; Aves; Passeriformes; Pipridae
Exons: 3
Source: RefSeq, a predicted model, not a curated record
GCUCCACGCUCCCAAAAUUACCCUGCGUGGGGAGGGCCGGGCUGGGACGAGGGAUGUGUCCCAGAGCCCCCCCCCCAUAUUCCCAGUGCCUGUUAUCCCUCCCAAGAUCCCGCUCUCGGGGCACAAUCCAAGCGUUUCUCAGCAAAGCGAGGACGUUCCACGCCCCGAAUCAGGCUGUCCCGGAGCGCCACGUCCGCGGGGGACAGGUCCGACAGCAGCUCGUAGUCUGGGGGAGGGAUGCACAGCUGCUGCAGGAUGCGGGUGAGCCGGACCCAGAGGACGUGGAUGCCUGGAAACCAUGGGAUGAGGACGGAGGAGAACGGCAGGACACACGGACCGUGGGACACGGGCACUCGGAGCCGCUCACCAGGUAGUUGAGGGCAUAGGCCAACUGCUUGGCCACCGUCAGCUUCCAGCUGGUGGUCACCGAGCCCUCGCCCCGCUU